AUGUCGGGCAAAAUUGCGUGGAGUGAAUGACCUGCCACCGGAAUUCGCGCGUUUCACACCUUUGUAUUUCCUUCGAAGGUUCCCUCGCUCGAAGGUACCUUCGAAGGUAACGGGUAUUUUAUUUGGGACGAGUCAGUUCACUGCUGACAAAGUCAUAUCUAGCAACAUUACCUACCUGGUUUUUUUCGAGCAAUAACGAAGCGUAUUACUCGAAGGUACGUACGUAAAUCGUACGUACAUACGAAGCUUGCUUAUUAUUACCUUCAUUUAUUUAACACUUAUUUGUAUAUUCCAUACGAAGGUACCAAGUUACAGUACCAAGGAAGCAAGGUUUCCUGUACCUUGGGAAAAUUUAUUCUUCUUUUGAUCGGUAUAGAAUAGCCCGAUCGUUUAAGAAAAGUCGACGAUUAAUAACUAACUCACUGUACGGUCGUCGUUAGUUGGUUACUCUAUUUCUUUUUAACAAAACAACUUCGUGUGACGCCUUCCCGCUCUUUGGACGACAACUUUUCAGCGGGACGUCCGUGUCUUUGCGCUCGAUGUGUGCGUAUACGUCGUCCUAACAUGCACACCACGUGUGAGCGACGAAAAAACGCGUCUUCUGAAGUGGCGGUAGUAGCCGUCGAAGUUGACCGAUGUGUCGAUGAAAAUUCAGCUUCAAACCUUAGCCCUUCUUUCACCGAAGCUCCAUCGAUCAAAUACACCAGUCGCCAGUGUAUUUUCCCCGUUUGUUAUAAAUUUAUGCCCCGGAGGACGCGUUCGAUCACAUCGAGGACGCCGAGGGUGGAAGCGCCGGGGAGGGUCGAUCGCCUGCAACCGCCUGUCAGGGUGGUCGGGUUAGGCUACUCGUCCCAAACCAGCCGACCGCGAACCCAAAAAAAUAACAUGCAUACAGUAGACUAAAAUCACAGUAGACUUGUACGAAGGUAUAUUAUAUAUUACAGUAGACUUGUAUUAUUGUACCUUCGUACGAAGGUAAUAUAAAUAAGUUUCGUAAAA
This 999-nucleotide long non-coding RNA is filed under the name Micromonas commoda. RNAcentral's name for it is "long non-coding RNA (MCOM_LNC000086)". Lineage: Eukaryota; Viridiplantae; Chlorophyta; Mamiellophyceae; Mamiellales; Mamiellaceae. The record is from RNAcentral.